This 330-nucleotide ribosomal RNA is filed under the name uncultured bacterium. Its description in RNAcentral is "bacterial SSU rRNA". It matches the Rfam family "Bacterial small subunit ribosomal RNA", at positions 33 to 358 of the family's 1533-position model. The record is from RNAcentral.
ACGCUGGUCGCGUGGCUAACACAUGCAAGUCGAGCGAGAAAAGUGGGGGCAACUCCCUGAGUAUAGCCCCGCACGGGUGAGUAACACGUGGGUAAUCUGCCCUGGAGUGGGGAAUAACACCUGGAAACCGGUGCUAAUACCGCAUACGAUAACUAGGUCUGUGGACUUUGUUAUGAAAGGAGCAAUUCGCUCUAGGAGGAGCCCACUGCUGAUUAUCUAGUUGGUGAGGUAACGGCUCUCCAAGGGUACCAUCAGUAUCCGGUCUGAGAGGACGGUCGGACACACUGGAACUGAGACACUGUCCAGACUCCUACGGGAGGCAGCAUUGGG